UGGGGAAUAUUGCACAAUGGAGGGAACUCUGAUGCAGCGACGCCGCGUGAACGAAGAAGGCUUUCGAGUCGUAAAGUUCUUUUUUAUGGGAAGAUAAUGACGGUACCAUAAGAAAAAGCCCCGGCUAACUACGUGCCAGCAGCCGCGGUAAUACGUAGGGGGCUAGCGUUGUCCGGAAUCACUGGUCGUAAAGGGUUCGCAGGCGGAAAUGCAAGUCAGGUGUGAAAGGCAGUAGCUUAACUACUGUAAGCAUUUGAAACUGCAUAUCUUGAGAAGAGUAGAGGUAAGUGGAAUUUUUAGUGUAGCGGUGAAAUGCGUAGAUAUUAAAAAGAAUACCGGUGGCGAAGGCGACUUACUGGGCUCAUUCUGACGCUGAGGAACGAAAGCGUGGGUAGCAAACAGG
RNAcentral lists this ribosomal RNA (403 nucleotides) under Fusobacteriota bacterium. Its description in RNAcentral is "Fusobacteria bacterium partial 16S ribosomal RNA". It matches the Rfam family "Bacterial small subunit ribosomal RNA", at positions 355 to 776 of the family's 1533-position model. The record is from RNAcentral. Lineage: Bacteria; Fusobacteriati; Fusobacteriota.